This 735-nucleotide ribosomal RNA is filed under the name uncultured bacterium. RNAcentral's name for it is "bacterial SSU rRNA". It matches the Rfam family "Bacterial small subunit ribosomal RNA", at positions 28 to 776 of the family's 1533-position model. The record is from RNAcentral.
GACGAACGCUAGCGGCGCGCCUAACACAUGCAAGUCGAACGAGCGAGAGAGAGCUUGCUUUCUUGAGCGAGUGGCGAACGGGUGAGUAACGCGUGAGGAACCUGCCUCAAAGAGGGGGACAACAGUUGGAAACGACUGCUAAUACCGCAUAAGCCCACGACCCGGCAUCGGGUUGAGGGAAAAGGAGCAAUCCGCUUUGAGAUGGCCUCGCGUCCGAUUAGCUGGUUGGUGAGGUAACGGCCCACCAAGGCGACGAUCGGUAGCCGGACUGAGAGGUUGAACGGCCACAUUGGGACUGAGACACGGCCCAGACUCCUACGGGAGGCAGCAGUGGGGAAUAUUGCACAAUGGGGGAAACCCUGAUGCAGCGACGCCGCGUGGAGGAAGAAGGUCUUCGGAUUGUAAACUCCUGUUGUUGAGGAAGAUAAUGACGGUACUCAACAAGGAAGUGACGGCUAACUACGUGCCAGCAGCCGCGGUAAAACGUAGGUCACAAGCGUUGUCCGGAAUUACUGGGUGUAAAGGGAGCGCAGGCGGGAAGACAAGUUGGAAGUGAAAUCUAUGGGCUCAACCCAUAAACUGCUUUCAAAACUGUUUUUCUUGAGUAGUGCAGAGGUAGGCGGAAUUCCCGGUGUAGCGGUGGAAUGCGUAGAUAUCGGGAGGAACACCAGUGGCGAAGGCGGCCUACUGGGCACCAACUGACGCUGAGGCUCGAAAGUGUGGGUAGCAAACAGG